Molecule: long non-coding RNA, 1042 nt
Filed under: Sus scrofa (pig)
Lineage: Eukaryota; Metazoa; Chordata; Mammalia; Artiodactyla; Suidae
Description: lncRNA (ENSSSCG00025041660.1, ENSSSCG00065067199.1)
Source: RNAcentral
CACGCCCUUGGGUGCGCACGGAGUCCAAAGGCCCAUCUGGAGAGAUUCUGCCUGAGCUAGUUCUCCCUCUCAAGGCCCUCAUCCGGAUUCUUGCCUGUCUGCUUGCCCACAUGGGGAUUUCGGGGUUGAGGGUCUCACCCCUCCGACUUCUCCCGGCUGGUCCCUCCGCUCAGGGCACAGCGCGCCACACGCGGACGCGAGCGCGAGCAGCCAGGACCCGCGGGAGAAGUCGGUCCUCACUUCUCUGGCCGCUCCUCUGCGUCCGCUGGCACUAAAACCCCACCAAGGGGGCUGGGCCGGGGGAUGCAGACGCUAAGGUGGACUGGGGGUGGGGGUGCUCCUCUCAAGGUGCCCAGACGCGCGACUGGCCGGAGAGGCUGCACGCGCGCCCACCCGGCCUCUGCUCUCCCACCUGGGGCUAGCCUCCUCCGCGACGGCGAGGCGCGCAGCUCCCAUCCCAACCCCGACCCCGAGUCCAGCCCGAGGAGCAGUCCGUUCCCGGUCAGAGCCUUCCAGAGCCCAGGGGCCCCCAGCCUUGCUGGGAGGAUGCACCCAGCCUACGUCCUGCCGGCGCCUUCCCAAACCACCGCCACACUCGCUUUCACACCCGCUGGAAGAGUGACGCGUCCGGGCAGAGCGAUCACAGAUAAACCAAAUCUUUGAGUGUGUGAGAAGGAAAAGAAGCCGCGGCCGGGCCGCUGAUGAUGAGGGGACGAUGAACUUCUCACCUUUCUUUAACUCAGAGCAACUCGUCCUUUAAAAAAAUCCACGCCGCCGUGGGUGUGUAUUUCACUGUUAAUUGCGUUUUGCUGGGAUGAUCUUUUACGACUGGAAAACAAGCGGCUGGGAAAAUAUUCACGUUUGGGACAGAAAACAUUUUUUAUUUAUAUCUUUGACAUUUAAAAGAGCAGAAUUAAUUUGUCCUGUCUACAUUAGCAUUGAGAGAAAGUUUCAGAAAUCUACCCGGGGGAAGAGGACGGUGAAAAAAAAAAGAAAAAAGAAAGCGAAUAAAAGAAAGGAAAAAGAAAAGCUAGGCUUGGUU